RNAcentral lists this long non-coding RNA (206 nucleotides) under Vigna radiata. Its description in RNAcentral is "long non-coding RNA (VRAD_LNC007891)". The record is from RNAcentral. Lineage: Eukaryota; Viridiplantae; Streptophyta; Magnoliopsida; Fabales; Fabaceae.
UAUUCUUGAAUAACCCUAAAUGGUAUUGAAACAUUCCCUUAAAUAACUUUUAACAAGAAAAAUUGAAUUUUACAGGAAGAAAUUAGAAAAGUAGAACAGUUGAUUCUUUUAUAUGAUUGGUCAUAAAGUGUUUUAUAUGUCCUUGUUUAUUAGGUUUUUUAGGCCCUAUGUACAAUGAAAGUGCCCUUAGGCGUAGGAAGCCUUUU